This 600-nucleotide ribosomal RNA is filed under the name uncultured bacterium. RNAcentral describes it as "bacterial SSU rRNA". It matches the Rfam family "Bacterial small subunit ribosomal RNA", at positions 48 to 638 of the family's 1533-position model. The record is from RNAcentral.
GUAACACAUGCAAGUCGAACGGUAACGCGAGGAGCUUGCUCCUUGGCGACGAGUGGCGGACGGGUGAGUAAUGCUUAGGAAUCUGCCCAUGUAGUGGGGGACAACACGGGGAAACUCGUGCUAAUACCGCAUACGCCCUACGGGGGAAAGCGGGGGAUCUUCGGACCUCGCGCUAUUGGAUGAGCCUAAGUCGGAUUAGCUUGUUGGUGGGGUAAAGGCCUACCAAGGCUACGAUCCGUAGCUGGUCUGAGAGGACGAUCAGCCACACUGGGACUGAGACACGGCCCAGACUCCUACGGGAGGCAGCAGUGGGGAAUAUUGGACAAUGGGGGCAACCCUGAUCCAGCAAUGCCGCGUGUGUGAAGAAGGCCUGCGGGUUGUAAAGCACUUUCAGUAGAGAAGAAAAGCUUAGGGUUAAUACCCUUGAGUCUUGACGUAACCUACAGAAGAAGCACCGGCUAACUCCGUGCCAGCAGCCGCGGUAAUACGGAGGGUGCGAGCGUUAAUCGGAAUUACUGGGCGUAAAGCGCGCGUAGGCGGUUGUGUAAGUCGGAUGUGAAAGCCCAGGGCUUAACCUUGGAAUUGCAUUCGAAACUGCAC